GCCGGUGUGGCGGAAUGGCAGACGCAACGGACUUAAAAUCCGUUGGGGCGAAAGCCCCGUGCUGGUUCGAUCCCAGCCAUCGGCA
This 85-nucleotide transfer RNA is filed under the name Verrucomicrobia bacterium SCGC AG-212-E04. It matches the Rfam family "tRNA". From Rfam's summary of the family: Transfer RNA (tRNA) molecules are approximately 80 nucleotides in length. Their secondary structure includes four short double-helical elements and three loops (D, anti-codon, and T loops). Further hydrogen bonds mediate the characteristic L-shaped molecular structure. tRNAs have two regions of fundamental functional importance: the anti-codon, which is responsible for specific mRNA codon recognition, and the 3' end, to which the tRNAs corresponding amino acid is attached (by aminoacyl-tRNA synthetases). tRNAs cope with the degeneracy of the genetic code in two manners: having more than one tRNA (with a specific anti-codon) for a particular amino acid; and 'wobble' base-pairing, i.e. permitting non-standard base-pairing at the 3rd anti-codon position. The record is from Rfam by way of RNAcentral. Lineage: Bacteria; Pseudomonadati; Verrucomicrobiota.